GGGAAAAUUGCGCUGCUGCCCUAGCAAUGGCAAGUGUUUCACGAACCGUCGCCGGGAAAAAGAAGUUAUCUAACUCACUGAUAUCAAAGCUUAGUCCAACUAUCUUUUAAUCUUUUGGUCGAAGGUUCGAAUCCUUCACGGCCCACCA
Molecule: transfer RNA, 148 nt
Filed under: Stenotrophomonas maltophilia
Lineage: Bacteria; Pseudomonadati; Pseudomonadota; Gammaproteobacteria; Lysobacterales; Lysobacteraceae
Description: tRNA-Ser
Source: RNAcentral